AUCAUCAGCACCAAUCUGCACAGGGCUCCGCGCGGACCUCCUCCGAGCCACGCAUUGGUUCCACUCUCCUGAGCGACACCAGGAGACUUUCCUGUUUGGAAGGCUCCACUCCGAGGGGAGUUGGAGCCUGCCCCUCGCUCACCCCUCUCCGGAGCACAGCAGUGCGCGCUGCUGUCCGUGCACAGAUGCGGCAGAUCUGCAGCCCACAGGGAGCGCUCAGGCAUUUACGUCUGUACCCCAGUGCCCCAUUCUGCCAUUGGGAGCUUGGUAGCAAACCGGUUUUCUUCCCAGGGGGAAGAUGAGCAUGUUAAGUUUUCUUUUUUUUCUGUUCACCAAAGAUGCAAAGAGAAUUGGCCAGUUCAUCACGAUUAGAGCAUUCUGAAACUCUACAAUGCAAGAAACCCAGACAAUUGCUAUGAUUACAGCAUAGGGAGGGAUAUAAUCAGAUUAGAUCUCAUGGAGGUGGAUAUCUGCUGAAGUCAUCAGAAAUCUUUGAGAGGAGAAGCCCAUGGAGGGAGGGAUACCUAUGGCUUUCAGCCUGCUUUCCUUGCUUUUGCUUUAUGUGAUCCAGUUUGCCCCUUGUGGAAUGACAGUUUGUGUGGACAGUAUUUCUGGGUGGGAAGCAUCUGAGAAUCUUACCAUACAUGCACAUCUACCUUAAACAGGCCUGCAGCCCUGCCCAGAGUGCCUUCUGAGAGUUGAGAGGUGCCCCCCUGAACCAUGCUCUGCACCUGGAGGAGCUACGACAGAAGGGACUGGGAAGAGGCUAUCUGUCCCUGGUGGAUUCUGGCUCAAUGUGUUCAGUGGGUGAGAUCAGUGGGUACUCACAGAGACUAUUUCAGUCACUCCUCACCAGAGUCUUGCCUCAAAGACAUUGCUCUCUGGGAUUCCUUGGCUGGGACAAAAGGACAAUGGAUGCCAGCUGACAGAAUGCCACACCGCCAAGGUCUGUGUACUGCAAAAUCCAUGCAGUUUCUAUUAAGCAACCAAGUUAUUUGGCUCUAAACCCCUCCCUGUCUCGAAAACAGACCUGUUUGCUUUUAAGGAAGUACUACAGAAUAAUUGAUUACUGCUCUCCUUAUGAACUUUAUGGGUCCAGUGGAAAAUAUAAGAUGAUAGAUAAUAUUAUUGCCCGAUCCUUACUAAGUUUCUACUUCAUAUAAAGUCCUUUUUUCAAGCCAGAGGAUAAGAAAACUAUGAUUCUUCCUGUCUGGCAAAGGCCUCCAAUACAUUUGGAGAUACCAGCAUAUUUGUGAAUAUAUAAAAAAGAUAAUAAGACCUAUUCACUCUAGGUAUUAAAGUCAAAUUCUGCAGAACCCGUAGUUACAAGUGCGUCAUUCACAAGCAAGCUGAUGUGUGAAGUCUCAGAACAAUGACAGGAUCCCAUGAAAGUCCACAGGCACAAGAGGAGAAUGCUCUGGAAAACAUGGCUGGGCUGGAGUGGGCUGGAGGGACCCACGCCAUGGCAAUGAGCCUGUCUGGUCUGGGAGAGGAGGCAGCAGACUUGCAUGGGAACUCUCUAGGGCAAAGCUGAGAUGAGCUGGGGGAGAACAGGGGAGACAGUGAGAAAGACCUGGACUCCAAAGGGAUGAUUCCCAAAUUGCUGCCAGAAAAAAGUUAACUUGUUUUUGAGCUGGGGAGGACUCUGAAGCAGGGGGCUGAUUUAUAGAAUUGAAUCUGGGAUAGACUGAGGCACGCUUACCUGCCAGUGGGCCUGGCCAGUGUCUGACACAUUCUGGAACUGAGUGGGAGCAGUGGAAGAGGGAAAGAAGGGGGCUAUGUGUGAAACAGGAGAAUCAGCAGAACUUGAGGACUGAGGACAUACACAUGAUAGAUAUCAUGCAAGCAUGGUAUUGAAAUCCAUGAACCAGGAACUCUAUUAUAGCCUGUAUUUACCUUCUCAACAAACCAGUGAAGUAGGUGCUAGGAUGCAGUGUGCAGAGGGAGAAACCACGCUCCCAGAGUUUAGAUAGCUUCUGCAGUGCUGCGAGCUGCUCCUGUGCAGUGGAGUUGGGGCUAGGCCUGCCUGAUGCAGAUGAGGCAGAGGAGAGGCACUGUAGCUGGGGAGGAGCAGCCCCUACCCAAGGGGCUCAGCAGGCUCUUCAGACACCAACCAAGCACUAAGCACCUGGAGAACACAGAGAAGCACUCAGCACAGCCCUGCACCACACUAGCAGGAAAGAGAGACACACGUGAUGCCAGUCAGCAUUCCAUCUUUGUCACAAACACUUGAGAUAAUCAAUCUAUAAAGGGGAAAGGCUUAUUUUGGCUGUUUUGGAGGCACCCAUCCAUGAUCAGUGCAUACACUGCCUUCAGGCUUCCGAGGAGGCACAGAAUGGCAGGAAGGGUGGGGAAAAACCACACUCUUCCGGUGGGAAAUUAAGACAGGAAGAAGAAGAGGCUGGAGUCCCAGAUGGCAGGCCCCAACUCUCAAACAUGCCCCACCUCUCACUAGCUCAUAUUGAGGACCAAGCCUUGAACACAGGGACCUUGGGGGACACAUACGAUCCAAGCUACAGCACGGUGCCACUCAGAAAACUGACAAGGACAGGAACAGAUGUCUUUAUGUGGACUCUGUCAAAAUCUUAGGUGCUCUGUGGUGUUUUCUCUUAAUUUUUAUUGUACUCUUAAUUCUAGUCCAUUCCACAGAUGAAGAAACAGACCAGGUUACAGAAAGUUCCAAAUAUACUUCAAAUAUUAUUCAAAGUUUACAUUGUUUUACUGUUCUCUGUUUUGGGAUAUUCCAUAAAAUAACAGCGCUUAAGAUGAUCAUCUCUCUUUAGGGAGAUGAAACCCUGGGUUUGAAGCUUGCCUUGUCACUCACCUGCUAUGCGACUUGUUUUAAAAUACUUGUGGUUUAAAAAUGUACAUUUAGUCUACCAGCCUCUUUCCUAAGCCACAUGCAGGCACACACACCAGGCACACAAUCACACGUACCCUGCACCUUUUAAUUAAACCCACACUUAGCAAACAUCAAUGUAUAUCCUGAUAUAACUUGUGUUUUUUAAAAUUUUGUGUGCUGGAUAAACUCUUUUGUAAGGAAACUUAUAAAUAUGUAUUUUCACAAUCAAUUCUUACAGGUCUAUUAUAUGAUUACAACAUAUGUCUCUUUUAUUUAAAAAAAGAAGAAAUGUAUAAAUGCAUGUUUAAUCAAUAGAUGGCACCAACUCUGAACAGAGAUAUUACAGUCUACUGGUUCUAUUUAAACAUCUUAAAAUAUACAAAUACAAAUAAAAAUGCUUCAAUGCAUAUUUACUAGGGGAACAAUUCUUUGCUCUGGAGUAAAUAUUAUGCAGUUUUAUACCCUCUGUGAAUCUUCUUUUUUUCUUCCUCCAAAUCAAACAAAAUCAUCGAAACUUCAUUCAAGCAGCAAUAAGGUAGGGAGACAGACCAACCAAAAUGGGGCAGUUGUGUGAGGGGCAGAUUUUCACACAUUUUCUCCUGUGAGGCUCCUUUGCUUUGAACAGGAAUGUGAACAGCAGAACCAGCAGAACAAGCAGUGACCAACUUCCUAGAGCUGACAGAAAGAGUGGGACCAGGAUGGGCCUUCACCUUCAGAUUCUGAAAACCAGAAUCUGGGCAUUUCUUUUAUUUAUUUAUUUAUUCAUUUGAUACCAGUGGUUGAACUGGGGACCUUGCACUUUUGAGGCAGGCAGCAGAACCACUGAGCUUAAUCCCUGGCCCACUUUUUUCUUUUUUAUACAGAAGACCACACUAUGGAAGAUAUAACUUCUUGUUAUUUCAUGUAUUCAUUCAUUCAUGAAAUAAAUAUGCUCAUGUAUCUACUAUGAGCCAAAUACUUAUCCACUAUGUGUGAUAUACAAAAGAUGUGAUAAAACUAGCUAAGACUACUCUCAUCCAUCUGAAAUCCAUGGAGUAGUAGAGGAUACAAACAUUAAACUAUUAAUUAUAAUCAUUGAUUACAACUGUGACAAGUGAUUGUAAAGAAACACAUCAGCUCAUAGCAAUUUCCCAAAACUAAUGUAAUUACUGUGCAUUACGACAUGUACCAAUUAAAUAAAAAAUGAAAAUAGAUAAAAUGAAAAUGUACAGAAAUAUCAGUUCACUGGAGAUCACAAAAUAAAGAUAAGAUACAUAGGGAAGGGAGGCAUGGCUUGCAUUUGGAAAUUGCCCCAGGGAGUAACUUCUAAUCUGGAGUCCCAGAAGGAGAUGCCAAGAGGCCAGAAGAAAGAGAUUGUGCCUGGCACAAAGGAGAGCCUGUGCACAAGCCCCAGGGCAUGAACUCAACUUGCUGGUUAGACACUGAAGGCUCCUCGUGCAAUUCACACUCAUACAACCUUUGACUGAAAUCAACUCUGCGCUAAAUAGUGUUAACAACAAUAGAUCGGUGCAUGAGGAGCCUGGCUGAGGGACAAGGAAGGAUGGAUUUUAGAUAUUGUAACACUAGGGUGGUUUGUUUUAUUUUGCCUGUAAAAAAUAAAAAGGAAGAUGCUAACAUGCUACAGAUUAAAAUCUGACUACCUCUUCGGCUAUAAAUAUUCGAAAAAGUCCUGGGCCUCCUGUGCGGGAAGUGAACCCCUGAGCACAGUCUGAAGAGUGUGGGGUGCAUGUUAGAGCCUUUAAACAACAACGGUGUGGUUUAGCUCAAAUAGGGCAUUUAUUUGAUGACCAGGGGAGGAGUAGAAGAGAAGGCCUCUCUUCUGAAGUCCCUAGACUUGCUCACAAUGAUUUGGAUGUCUUACAUUUACAGCAGGUCUCCAUCUACUUCUGAUACUUCCCCAAACUUUUAGUAUGUUCACAAAUAUUUCAGUCAUGCCAGUGAUGGUCUUAAGAAGCACCAAUUAUGAAUCACCCACGACCUGCAGGUUCCCUGUGAGAUGAUGAAGAUGUAUCAUAUCUACUCGUCACACCAGUAUGACAACAUGCAAACGUUUACAGACUUUUAGACUUGGACUUCCCACAGCCAGCAACAAACAGCUCUGAGAGUCACUCAGAGAUGAAUGAAUGAUGCCAAAGACCAAAUUAUCUCCUUCCUACCUCAAAGGGCUUUGAUGCGCUUCCAUGAAGCCAUAGCAAGAUUAGCUACAUGAAGGUCAG
Non-coding RNA from Heterocephalus glaber (naked mole-rat), 5058 nucleotides. Lineage: Eukaryota; Metazoa; Chordata; Mammalia; Rodentia; Bathyergidae. The record is from RefSeq and is a predicted model, not a curated record.